UACAGAGGGUGCGAGCGUUAAUCGGAAUUACUGGGCGUAAAGCGCACGUAGUCGGCUUUGCAAGUCGGGUGUGAAAUCCCCGGGCUUAACCUGGGAAUGGCGAUGGUGACUGCAAGGCUAGAGUUUGGCAGAGGGGGGUAGAAUUCCACGUGUAGCAGUGAAAUGCGUAGAGAUGUGGAGGAACACCGAUGGCGAAGGCAGCCCCCUGGGUCAAAACUGACGCUCAUGCACGAAAGCGUGGGGAGCAAACAGG
This 253-nucleotide ribosomal RNA is filed under the name uncultured bacterium. RNAcentral's name for it is "partial 16S ribosomal RNA". It matches the Rfam family "Bacterial small subunit ribosomal RNA", at positions 524 to 776 of the family's 1533-position model. The record is from RNAcentral.